UACGUAGGGUGCUAGCGUUGUCCGGAAUCAUUGGGCGUAAAGAGCGUGUAGGCGUCCCGUUAAGUCCGCUGUAAAAGUCAAAGGCUCAACCUUUGAAUGUCAGUGGAUACUGCCGGGCUAGAGUCCGGAAGAGGCGAGUGGAACUCCUGGUGUAGCGGUGGAAUGCGCAGAUAUCAGGAAGAACACCACCGGCGAAGGCAGCUCGCUAGGACGGUACUGACGCUGAGACGCGAAAGCGUGGGGAGCGAACAGG
This 253-nucleotide ribosomal RNA is filed under the name uncultured bacterium. RNAcentral describes it as "partial 16S ribosomal RNA". It matches the Rfam family "Bacterial small subunit ribosomal RNA", at positions 524 to 776 of the family's 1533-position model. The record is from RNAcentral.